RNAcentral lists this ribosomal RNA (406 nucleotides) under uncultured bacterium. RNAcentral describes it as "partial 16S ribosomal RNA". It matches the Rfam family "Bacterial small subunit ribosomal RNA", at positions 30 to 526 of the family's 1533-position model. The record is from RNAcentral.
AUUGAACGCUGGCGGCAGGCUUAACACAUGCAAGUCGAGCGAGCGGCGGAAGGGUGAGUAAUGUCUGGGAAACUGCCUGAUGGAGGGGGAUAACACCUGGAAACGGUAGCUAAUACCGCAUACCAUCAGAUGUGCCCAGAUGGGAUUAGCUAGUAGGUGGGGUAAUGGCUAACCUAGGCGAAGUUCCCUAGCUGGUCUUAGAGGAUGACCAGCCACACUGGAACUUGGACACGGUCCAGACUCUGACGGGAGGCAGCAGUGGGGAAUAUUGCACAAUGGGCGCAAGCCUGAUGCAGCCAUGCCGCGUGUGUGAAGAAGGCCUUCGGGUUGUAAAGCACUUUCAGCGAGGAGGCGUUACUCGCAGAAGAAGCACCGGCUAACUCCGUGCCAGCAGCCGCGGUAAUAC